GGCUCAGAUUGAACGCUGGCGGCAUGCCUUACACAUGCAAGUCGAACGGCAGCACGGGAGCAAUCCUGGUGGCGAGUGGCGAACGGGUGAGUAAUAUAUCGGAACGUGCCCGGUCGUGGGGGAUAACGUAGCGAAAGCUACGCUAAUACCGCAUACGAUCUACGGAUGAAAGCGGGGGAUCGCAAGACCUCGCGCGAUUGGAGCGGCCGAUAUCAGAUUAGGUAGUUGGUGAGGUAAAGGCUCACCAAGCCGACGAUCUGUAGCUGGUCUGAGAGGACGACCAGCCACACUGGGACUGAGACACGGCCCAGACUCCUACGGGAGGCAGCAGUGGGGAAUUUUGGACAAUGGACGCAAGUCUGAUCCAGCCAUUCCGCGUGCAGGAAGAAGGCCUUCGGGUUGUAAACUGCUUUUGUACGGAACGAAAAGGCUCUUUCUAAUAAAGAGGGCCCAUGACGGUACCGUAAGAAUAAGCACCGGCUAACUACGUG
RNAcentral lists this ribosomal RNA (491 nucleotides) under uncultured bacterium. RNAcentral's name for it is "bacterial SSU rRNA". It matches the Rfam family "Bacterial small subunit ribosomal RNA", at positions 21 to 507 of the family's 1533-position model. The record is from RNAcentral.